This 504-nucleotide ribosomal RNA is filed under the name Salmonella enterica. Its description in RNAcentral is "bacterial SSU rRNA". It matches the Rfam family "Bacterial small subunit ribosomal RNA", at positions 1 to 494 of the family's 1533-position model. The record is from RNAcentral. Lineage: Bacteria; Pseudomonadati; Pseudomonadota; Gammaproteobacteria; Enterobacterales; Enterobacteriaceae.
AAAUUGAAGAGUUUGAUCAUGGCUCAGAUUGAACGCUGGCGGCAGGCCUAACACAUGCAAGUCGAACGGUAACAGGAAGCAGCUUGCUGCUUUGCUGACGAGUGGCGGACGGGUGAGUAAUGUCUGGGAAACUGCCUGAUGGAGGGGGAUAACUACUGGAAACGGUGGCUAAUACCGCAUAACGUCGCAAGACCAAAGAGGGGGACCUUCGGGCCUCUUGCCAUCAGAUGUGCCCAGAUGGGAUUAGCUUGUUGGUGAGGUAACGGCUCACCAAGGCGACGAUCCCUAGCUGGUCUGAGAGGAUGACCAGCCACACUGGAACUGAGACACGGUCCAGACUCCUACGGGAGGCAGCAGUGGGGAAUAUUGCACAAUGGGCGCAAGCCUGAUGCAGCCAUGCCACGUGUAUGAAGAAGGCCUUCGGGUUGUAAAGUACUUUCAGCGGGGAGGAAGGUGUUGCGGUUAAUAACCGCAGCAAUUGACGUUACCCGCAGAAGAAGCACC